RNAcentral lists this small RNA (115 nucleotides) under Marmota monax (woodchuck). The record is from RNAcentral. Lineage: Eukaryota; Metazoa; Chordata; Mammalia; Rodentia; Sciuridae.
GCUGGGCACUGUGGUGCAUGCCUGUAAUCCCAGCAACUUGGGAUGCUGAGACAGGAGGAUCUCAAGUUCAAAGCCAGCCUCAGCAACUUAGCAACUCAAUGAGACCCUGACUCUA